RNAcentral lists this ribosomal RNA (720 nucleotides) under Arthrobacter oryzae. RNAcentral describes it as "bacterial SSU rRNA". It matches the Rfam family "Bacterial small subunit ribosomal RNA", at positions 22 to 756 of the family's 1533-position model. Lineage: Bacteria; Bacillati; Actinomycetota; Actinomycetes; Micrococcales; Micrococcaceae. The record is from RNAcentral.
GCUCAGGAUGAACGCUGGCGGCGUGCUUAACACAUGCAAGUCGAACGAUGAUCCCAGCUUGCUGGGGGAUUAGUGGCGAACGGGUGAGUAACACGUGAGUAACCUGCCCUUAACUCUGGGAUAAGCCUGGGAAACUGGGUCUAAUACCGGAUAUGACUCCUCAUCGCAUGGUGGGGGGUGGAAAGCUUUUUUGUGGUUUUGGAUGGACUCGCGGCCUAUCAGCUUGUUGGUGAGGUAAUGGCUCACCAAGGCGACGACGGGUAGCCGGCCUGAGAGGGUGACCGGCCACACUGGGACUGAGACACGGCCCAGACUCCUACGGGAGGCAGCAGUGGGGAAUAUUGCACAAUGGGCGCAAGCCUGAUGCAGCGACGCCGCGUGAGGGAUGACGGCCUUCGGGUUGUAAACCUCUUUCAGUAGGGAAGAAGCGAAAGUGACGGUACCUGCAGAAGAAGCGCCGGCUAACUACGUGCCAGCAGCCGCGGUAAUACGUAGGGCGCAAGCGUUAUCCGGAAUUAUUGGGCGUAAAGAGCUCGUAGGCGGUUUGUCGCGUCUGCCGUGAAAGUCCGGGGCUCAACUCCGGAUCUGCGGUGGGUACGGGCAGACUAGAGUGAUGUAGGGGAGACUGGAAUUCCUGGUGUAGCGGUGAAAUGCGCAGAUAUCAGGAGGAACACCGAUGGCGAAGGCAGGUCUCUGGGCAUUAACUGACGCUGAGAGCGA